AGUUUAAUAGUCAAAGUGAUAAUGAUUUUAAAUUGCAAAUUUAAAGGUAAGUAAUUUUUUAAACUU
RNAcentral lists this transfer RNA (66 nucleotides) under Tenebrionoidea sp. 16 KM-2017. RNAcentral's name for it is "tRNA-Cys". Lineage: Eukaryota; Metazoa; Arthropoda; Insecta; Coleoptera. The record is from RNAcentral.